This 202-nucleotide ribosomal RNA is filed under the name Exiguobacterium mexicanum. RNAcentral describes it as "partial 16S ribosomal RNA". It matches the Rfam family "Bacterial small subunit ribosomal RNA", at positions 1266 to 1465 of the family's 1533-position model. The record is from RNAcentral. Lineage: Bacteria; Bacillati; Bacillota; Bacilli; Caryophanales.
AGCCAAUCCCAGAAAGCCGUUCUCAGUUCGGAUUGCAGGCUGCAACUCGCCUGCAUGAAGUCGGAAUCGCUAGUAAUCGCAGGUCAGCAUACUGCGGUGAAUACGUUCCCGGGUCUUGUACACACCGCCCGUCACACCACGAGAGUUUGUAACACCCGAAGUCGGUGAGGUAACCUUAGGGAGCCAGCCGCCGUAUUGGGGG